This 393-nucleotide ribosomal RNA is filed under the name uncultured bacterium. RNAcentral's name for it is "partial 16S ribosomal RNA". It matches the Rfam family "Bacterial small subunit ribosomal RNA", at positions 523 to 918 of the family's 1533-position model. The record is from RNAcentral.
AUACGGAGGAUCCGAGCGUUAUCCGGAUUUAUUGGGUUUAAAGGGUGCGCAGGCGGGAGAUUAAGUCGGCGGUGAAAUUUUGCAGCUCAACUGUAAAAGUGCCUUCGAAACUGGUUUCCUUGAGUGUAGAUGAAGUAGGCGGAAUUUGUGGUGUAGCGGUGAAAUGCAUAGAUAUCAAGAGGAACUCCGAUUGCGCAGGCAGCUUACUAAACUACUACUGACGCUCAGGCACGAAGGCGUGGGGAUCAAACAGGAUUAGAUACCCUGGUAGUCCACGCAGUAAACGAUGAUUACUAGCUGUUUGCGAUACAAUGUAAGCGGCUGAGCGAAAGCGUUAAGUAAUCCACCUGGGGAGUACGUUCGCAAGAAUGAAACUCAAAUGAAUUGACGGGG